AAAACACUAGAGCACCCUCCGCAAUCACUAACACAAGGCAUUCUCAUAAAACACUAGAGCACCAUGCGUAAUCACUAACACAAGGCCAAGAUCUUAGAAAACACUAGAGCACCCUGCACAAUCAGUAACACAAGGCCAAGAUCUUAUAAAACACUAGAGCACCCUGCGCAAUCACUAACACAAGGCCAAGAUCUUAGAAAACACUAGAGCACCCUGCGCAAUCACUAACACAAGGCCAAGAUCUUAGAAAACACUAGAGCACCCUGCGCAAUCACUAACACAAGGCGUUCUCAUAAAACACUAGAGCACCCUGCGCAAUCACUAACACAAGGCGUUCUCAUAAAACACUAAAGCACCCUGCGCAAUCACUAACACACAGACAUUCUCAUAAAACACUAGAGCACCCUGCGCAAUCACUAACACAAGGCAUUCUCAUAAAACACUAGAGCACCCUGCGCAAUCACUAACACACAGACAUUCUCAUAAAACACUAGAGCACCCUGCGCAAUCACUAACAAGGCGUUCUCAUAAAACACUAGAGCACCCUGCACAAUCUCUAACACAAGGCCAAGAUCUUAGAAAACACUAGAGCACCCUGCACAAUCACUAACACAAGGCCAAGAUCUUAGAAAACACUAGAGCACCCUGCGCAAUCACUAACACACGGCAUUCUCAUAAAACACUAGAACACCCUGCACAAUCACUAACACACACACAUUCUCAUAAAACACUAGAGCACCCUGCGCAAUCACUAACAAGGCGUUCUCCUAAAACACUAGAGCACCCUGCGCAAUCUCUAACACAAGGCCAAGAUCUUAUAAAACACUAGAGCACCCUGCACAAUCACUAACACAAGGCCAAGAUCUUAUAAAACACUAGAGCACCCUGCACAAUCACUAACACAAGGCCAAGAUCUUAGAAAACACUAGAGCACCCUGCGCAAUCACUAACACAAGGCGUUCUCAUAAAACACUAGAGCACCCUGUGCAAUCACUAAUACAAGUCGUUCUCAUAAAACACUAGAGCACCCUGCGCAAUCACUAACACACAGCCAUUCUCAUAAAACACUAGAGCACCCUGCGCAAUCACUAACACAAGGCAUUCUCACAAAACACUAGAGCACCCUGCGCAAUCACUAACACACAGACAUUCUCAUGAAACACUAGAGCACCCUGCGCAAUCACUAACACAAGGCCAAGAUCUCAUAAAACACUAGAGCAUCCUGCGCAAUCACUAACACAAGGCGUUCUCAUAAAACACUAGAGCACCCUGCGCAAUCACUAACACAAGGCGUUCUCAUAAAACCCUUCUGUAUGGGCGAGUGUUUUUGUGCUUGUGGAGAGAAAAUUGAGACAUCAGAAUUGAGAGAAGGUAGUCCCUGAGUGGUGGAGUUGUGUCUCAGCGUGAAGUUCCCUGGCGUGAGCCUGUUCAGUGCUCCCCGGGGGCCCCUCAACUGCACGUUGGGUCCUGCCUUUAUCCAGCCCACGUCACCUGCCUACCUUCCUCCCCUGCUCCCCAGAGCGGCACGGGUUGCCACACGGGUCUGCUUUGGGUUGGCCGGGCGUGCCAGCCUCCUCUGCCCCUGGACUGCAGAAGUGUACUGUCCAUCUCUUUCCUGGGGAAUCUCUGUCCAGUAUAUGCUUUACCAUUUUUGGGAUACUCUUGUUCCCCAAGACUGGGCCACAUGCCCUCAUCUGGGUUCUCAGAACACCUCACACUCUGCCUGCCGCCUACCAACUCACUGGGCUGUGGUGGCCUCUGUCCCAUGCUCCACAGUGAGCCCUCAGGACUGAGUUAAGUGCCUUUAAAAAUUACUUGUCUUGUUCCCAUUUUGAGGGGCAACCUUUGUUUAAAGGGCAUUCAUAGGGUCCACCUCCCCAUCAGUUUUUGGGGUGAAACAGACCGUGGACUCCAUUCUUGCUUGCCCCUGACCCCCCAGAGCCCCCCAGACGUGAGCUGAUGUGAGCACUUGCACCAGGAGGAAGCUGGUCCCCCUUUGGUCUCCUCCCUGUCUCCCUCUCUGUGGACCACAUACAUAAUUACGUGCCACACGUUUCCCUUCGCUCCGGGGAGCACGGGUCCUGUGCCGCCUGGUGGGGCGCUGACAGCCGUCAGAGCAAGGUGUCUGGGCUGGUGAAACAAACACACUCCCCAGUUCUCCCCUGGCGAUCAUCCCCCACAGUGGCCCUUCCCUAGGGCAGUGGCUGUUCCCAAGGCGGUGGCCGUUCCUCAGGGCAGUGGCCCACAGCUUGUCUUAUUUCUCUAAGCAUUUUGGGGUCCUUUAGCUUCUGAGGAAUGUCCUCUCAACUUUCCUCACGUGGCCGUCUGUUGGGGAUGCUCGCUCUUGGAUUUCCUGAAUCAUCUGAGAGGCUUUGUCUAAAGACCAGGCUUGGGUUUUCUUUCCCAGACUCUCUCAAUCAGAGUCGCUAAGGGCUGGCCUUUUCGUCUUCACCCUCUCAAGUUCCACAGACUGUCCUGGGAGAUUCAGCCUCCUCAUCCAUAAAAUAACAGAUUUUAACAGAAUUAUCUGUACGCCUCCCCCCGGGCUCUAAUUAAACCUGUUUCCACCACAAGGCCACCUACUGUGCACCUCCUGAUCCUGGGAAUGUCACGAUGAUGGCUAUGCUGGUUCUUUUUCCCUAGUAAUCAGGGAACUGGUUAUUUUGUUCAUUCACUUUGUGGAAAUUUGUUGAGCCCGCACUCACUUACAAUUUGUGUUUUUCUGUCUAUGAGUUUGAUGUCAAUCAAAAGUGUCCUUAAAAUAAGCAACAAAACAGUGACACUUCCUGGUCUUGUCCCUGGACCUGGGGAGGGACCCUCCCUACUCUGGGAGGCUCUGGGGUGUUAAGGCCCCUCCAUUGGAAGGGGGGGGUCUUAGAAUCCCUGGGCACGAGUGGCCGUGCGGGAGGAAUUGCCACCUCUGGUGUCGGUCUAUUAACGCAUCCGCUUCUGGCUCCCGUGAGGCCAGUCCAUGAGCCAGGACUGACAGAGUACUUAUCAAAUAUUUUAAAAAGUCAAGGCCGGGCGCGGUGGCUCACGCUUGUAAUCCCAGCACUUUGGGAGGCUGAGGCAGGCGGAUCACGAGGUCAGGAGAUCGAGACCACGGUGAAACCCCGUCUCUACUAAAAGUACAAAAAAUUAGCUGGGUGUGGUGGCGGGCGCCUGUAGUCCCAGCUACUCAGAGAGGCUGAGGCAGGAGAAUGGUGUGAACCCGGGAAGCGGAGCUUGCAGUGAGCCGAGAUCGCGCCGCUGCAUUCCAACCUGGGCAACAGAGUGAGACACUGUCUCAAAAAAAAAAGUCAAGUAAGCCCUAAUUUGCCUUUUUGUUGUUGUUAGAGAUGGGGUCUCUCUGUUGCUCAUGCUGGAGUGCAGUGAUGUGAUCACAGCUCACUGCAGCCUUGAAGUCCUGGGCUCAAGUGAUCCUCCCACCUCAGCUUCUCGAGUAGCUGGGACUAUAGGCACACACCAUCAUGCCCAGCUUGUUAUUUUAUUUUAUUUUUGUAGAGACAGGGUCUCGCCAUGUUGCCCAGGCUGGUCUUGAACUCCUGGACUCGAGCGAUCUUCCUUCGGCCUCCCAAAGUGCUUGGAUCACAGGCAUGAGCCACGGUGCCUGGCAUCAGCUCUCAUUUGAAUUAGUCAAGUUUUGAAGAAGCACACUCAUUUUGUCCGAGCACGGCAGUUCUGUUGUCUCUUAUGCUUGGCUCGUCUGUGUCCUCCUUGCCGUUGGUCCUGGUUUCAGUUCCCGUUUCCUCUCUCAUUGUAAUAUCACAUAUGCUGCCUAAGAGCUUCCUGGACUAAGGGAGGUGUGGAUACAUUCAUGCUUUAAAGAAAUUCCCAUCAUUUUUCUGCUUGUCCACGUGUGGGUUCCACUUUCUGUCUGUGUUUUCAGACAGCCUUUCCCACAUCUCAUGUUUUUUUGAUAUGAAAUGUCACCAUGGAAGCAGAAACUUUCCAAGCCACACUUUGCUGGCCGAGGCUGGGGAUGAGCGUUCAUUGUCUGCUGUCUUCUUGCAAUUCACCUUCUCCUGAAGGCCCUGCAGUGCCUGGAACGUGUCAGGGAGAAGACAUGCCCUGAUGUGGACUUACAACACUCAUUAAACAUAGGAAGUUAUGUGCGCCUUUCUCUGCAGGGAUUAAAGAUUUCAUGUGUGAAUUGUGUGGGAAGACAUUCAGCGAGAGGAACACGAUGGAGACCCACAAGCUCAUCCACACAGGUGAGCGGCGCAGCCUGAAGGAGCCUGCAGGGCUGCACGCGGCAGGCUGCCGGGGCUGUCUGAGCGCCUGCGGGGGUGGAAAUGACUAUUCUAUUAUCUAGACGGUUCCAGCACAUUUAGUGGUGUCUUGGCUUCAUGGUGGCCCCUUGGCCUCUGAAGGUCAACCCGCCACCGCUUUCAAGUAUCCCUUCUUGAAUUUUCUCCUAUUGGUUCCGUGAUGCAGCUGCUGCCGGCAGUGCUCCCCAAGGGACAGAGGCUCUGUGCUCAUGUGUGCUCGGGGACCAGCACCGGCCCUCUCAGGACGGGCGGGGCGUGACAGGCUUCUUGCCUCGUCCAGCGGGCCAGGGUCAUUGGGAUGGCUGCACUAGUGACCUGCGUGUCUCUUCCUUUCCACGCGCAUGUGCGUCUGCGUGUGUGUGAAAAGUGGGCAAGCAGUGGACGUGCUCCGUGUGCGACAAGAAGUACGUGACCGAGUACAUGCUGCAGAAGCACGUUCAGCUCACACACGACAAGGUGGAGGCGCAGAGCUGCCAGCUGUGCGGGACCAAGGUGUCCACCAGGGCCUCCAUGAGCCGACACAUGCGGCGCAAGCACCCCGAGGUGCUCGCGGUGAGGAUCGAUGACCUGGACCACCUCCCGGAGACCACCACCAUCGACGCCUCCUCCAUCGGCAUCGUCCAGCCUGAGCUGACUCUGGAGCAGGAGGAUUUGGCCGAAGGGAAGCACGGGAAAGCUGCCAAGCGAAGUCACAAGAGAAAGCAGAAGCCAGAAGAGGAGGCGGGUGCUCCGGUGCCCGAGGACGCCACCUUCAGCGAAUACUCAGAGAAAGAGACGGAGUUCACAGGCAGCGUAGGCGACGAGACCAAUUCCGCAGUACAGAGCAUUCAGCAGGUAGUGGUGACCCUGGGUGACCCAAAUGUGACCACACCAUCGAGCUCAGUCGGCCUGACCAACAUCACCGUGACCCCCAUCACCACUGCGGCCGCGACUCAGUUUACCAAUCUCCAGCCGGUGGCCGUGGGGCACCUUACCACCCCUGAACGCCAGUUACAGCUGGACAACUCAAUCCUGACCGUGACCUUUGAUACCGUCAGCGGCUCUGCCAUGUUGCACAAUCGCCAAAAUGACGUCCAGAUCCACCCCCAGCCGGAAGCCUCGAACCCACAGUCUGUGGCCCACUUCAUCAACCUGACGACCCUGGUCAACUCCAUCACGCCCCUGGGGAGCCAGCUUAGUGACCAGCACCCGCUCACAUGGCGGGCAGUGCCCCAGACUGACGUCUUGCCACCCCCGCAGCCGCAGGCACCCCCACAGCAGGCGGCCCAGCCCCAGGUGCAGGCGGAGCAGCAGCAGCAGAUGUACAGCUACUGAGCUGCGUUCCGGGAGACUCGGGGCAAGAACUGCAGAGGGAUGUUUGGGAUUUGUUUAGAUGUGUUUGCUGGAUACCAAACAAACAAAAAGUCAUACAUUGCAAUGUAAGGUUGACUUAGCUUUGCAGAGUAUCUCCAGAUCCCCCGCCAGCAACCAUUACGGUCUGUCAGCUUAACUCUAGAAGGGACCUCUGGCAGGCCAGAGUUUUAAACUGGAUGGGGCUCCACCCCAUGCCUUACCAAGGCAGUAAGUCCUGGGCCGGGGCCGCAUCUGCCUCCCCUUACAGAACCAGUGUUCGCCCGACACAGGGUUCGGGAAAGUGAAGCUGAGAGAGAAGCAGGAUUUUAAGAGGCAGGAGAUAAGUUAUUAGGAACACACAUGGUUCAUUUUCUUUUUUCUUUUAGAGCUUGGUUCCUGUGAGAACACAGACAGUAUUCACAGGUGGCAGCAGGCAGCAGGGAACAUUUUCUCCUCACUUCUGGAUUUUUUUGUAAGCGAGCAGAUAGAAGUUAAAGUAACGUUUAUUCUCUUUGAACUAGGAGUGGAGUCGGUUCUUAUACAACUAUGGGCUGAAACCAUACGUGAGGCGUGCUGAGCCGCACCUGAUCCUGCAACCUUCGAGGUCAUCACGGUCAUCAUGUGCAAGGGGUCACGUGAGGUCACUGACUCCGGCUCAAAAGGCAUCUUAGUAAUAUCCGUGAAUCGAUUUCCAAUAGAGUUUUUUUUCCUUUUUUUUUUUUUAACUUUAUUUCAAACAUACAUUAUGUGUUCAAGACUGUUAUGGCCAAUAUUGUGUUUUAGUUUUAUGUUAACAUGAUAAAGUCAUGUGCACUGUAGGACCAUCGGUCCCUGUCCACCCUUCACAGCUGCCCAGAUGCAGAGGGUUGCGCGGCUGUGUGUGAGGAGUGAGCCUCCCUGCUGCCCCCAGGGGCUCCUCCGGGUUGUCUCAGGAUUCUCUGCAAUCCAAAUGUAUCCAUUCUGGCUGAAGCCCAGCCAGAAUCCCGAGUGGAAGAAACGGGGGAAAAUUCAUAUUUUCCUUCUGUUUAAACUUCAAUUCCAAAGGUGCACAGAUGUAUUCAUAAAGGAAGACAUUAGAUCCAGCCAUUGUGGCCACCAGGCUCUGUGGACCCAUCUCAGUGGAGAAUUUGUUUUGGACCCGUGGCUCCGUGCAGCUGUGGACUUGAGUGCCAUCCACUGGUGUGAGUCUUGCGGGGAGGCCACAGGAAAACGUUCUGUGCCAAGUGCCGCCUCGCUGUGUCCGGCAUGGGACUGCGCUGGAGAGUCCGGCGUGGAAGGCAGACCUCCUGUACCUCUAUCGUUCCCAUUUGUGGCAUCCAAAGGCGGAAGGCUCAUGGCUUCCCCACUAGAGGCGGCGUCUUGGGCUUUCCCAUUGGAUUGUUUUAGGCAUUAAGACUGUUUGGAGAUGUUGGCUGUAUUUCCUGUCACAUCAGGUUGUAUGAUGAUGAAUAAAAGGUGCUGUGACCCGUGUUUUCAA
RNAcentral lists this small RNA (7080 nucleotides) under Pan troglodytes (chimpanzee). RNAcentral's name for it is "retained intron". The record is from RNAcentral. Lineage: Eukaryota; Metazoa; Chordata; Mammalia; Primates; Hominidae.